This 497-nucleotide ribosomal RNA is filed under the name uncultured bacterium. RNAcentral describes it as "partial 16S ribosomal RNA". It matches the Rfam family "Bacterial small subunit ribosomal RNA", at positions 28 to 507 of the family's 1533-position model. The record is from RNAcentral.
GAUGAACGCUGGCGGCGUGCCUAAUACAUGCAAGUCGAGCGAACAGAUGAGGAGCUUGCUCCUCUGACGUUAGCGGCGGACGGGUGAGUAACACGUGGAUAACCUACCUAUAAGACUGGGAUAACUUCGGGAAACCGGAGCUAAUACCGGAUAAUAUAUUGAACCGCAUGGUUCAAUAGUGAAAGACGGUUUUGCUGUCACUUAUAGAUGGAUCCGCGCCGCAUUAGCUAGUUGGUAAGGUAACGGCUUACCAAGGCAACGAUGCGUAGCCGACCUGAGAGGGUGAUCGGCCACACUGGAACUGAGGCACGGUCCAGACUCCUACGGGAGGCAGCAGUAGGGAAUCUUCCGCAAUGGGUGAAAGCCUGACGGAGCAACGCCGCGUGAGUGAUGAAGGUCUUCGGAUCGUAAAACUCUGUUAUUAGGGAAGAACAAAUGUGUAAGUAACUAUGCACGUCUUGACGGUACCUAAUCAGAAAGCCACGGCUAACUACGUG